ACAACUAAAUGCACCAUCAGUGUGUAAUGAAUAGUGCAAAAAGGUCUUAAAACUGAUCCGAGCACAUUACACACCAACAGAGGGGGAACAUCAUCCUCAGUGUUACUUAAUGAACACAGCACUUCCCAUAGAGCUUUCUAAGAGAUACAGUUACAGAAUGGGGGUAUAGGAAUGUUGUGGCAGCAGCUGGAAAAGAGCAUGAGAAUAAUGAAGGAUCAGCGUCCAGUGCACUGCGUAGGAUGGAGAGGCAACAAGUGCUCCUUCAGAUGCUAUCCAAAAAUAAGCCAAGCUCUUUAUCUUGCUGAAGGCCCGGGGUGGGCCAAAGUCCAGCGAAUCUUUUCAAUAAUCGCUCUUUGCUAAUUGUACCCUGGAAAAUAUUCCAUUACUUUAUGACAUUUACGAAAAAGUUGUAUCAAACAAUACAACAAGUCUUUUGGAUAGCUGUGCCUUCUGCACAAGAAGUAUUAAUAUAUGGUAAUUCAGCAUAUGAAACAUUACUUUAAUUCUCCAAAAAGACGAUAAAAUAACCCUCAUUGACCCCCUAUAACAGAACUGUUGGACAUUAGUGACAAUAAAGCAUAUCUCAGUAUUGACUUGGUCUUUAUAUCUUACAGUAACCAGCAGGGGAACAGAAAUGAAGCAAAAUGGGUGAACAUAAUGGGAUGGAUGGUGGACAUGUAGCCCUGGCAUUUAGUAUAUUCAUACCUCAUAGAAGAAUGCUAGAAUGUACUUUUCAUUAUUUAAUCCUUUAACAAAUUUAACAAAUUAUUUCAUAACAAAAUACAUUUUGAUUGUUGAUUUAAUUACAAAUUACUGAAUAUUAAUAUAAUAUAAUAUAAUAUAAUAUAAUAUAUUUAAAAGGAGCUUAGAAAAUGGUCUACUAAUGCGCUUUCUUACAAGCCCUCACAAAUGCUGUUUUGACUGACACUUUACUUAGCAGGUGAUGAUAAAUGUUGUCGUACAAAGUGAGCUUCUUGUAAUACUGUCUCUCCCAAGAGACGCUUCACUCUGAAGUCAUGGGGUUCAACGGCACCAGACAUCAUCCAGUCCAGAACGGGACCCUCAAACUGUCACCAUGCCUAAUCUGAAGCUGCCAGUCUGUCUAUGCUACAGACAUUUACACUAAGCCUCUGUACAGUACAGUAUAUCUACAAAUGCCGUGAAUAUUCAUAACUAAUAAUAAGCAUGCAAAAUGGAUAUGAGGGAGACUUGGCCGCUUGACAACAUCAGUCUCUCUGACAGAGAGAAGGCUGGAGAAUCGAAUGAAUGAAAGGAAGAAGUGUCAAUGUGAUGUCCCGGCCAGUUCAAAGGGUGCAUUCCUAGCAUUCAGUAGAGGUGGUCACAAUAGAAGUACAUCAAAGCAGACACCUUGAGCCACGCACAAAGCCCAAGCAUCCAUCAACAAUCCCAGAAUUCCUCUGUCCCGCCUUCUACUCCUCACGGCUAACGAAGAAUAGUACGUUCCAAAGAGCAGGAACCUGCUCCCUA
Long non-coding RNA from Misgurnus anguillicaudatus (oriental weatherfish), 1488 nucleotides. RefSeq lists it as uncharacterized. Lineage: Eukaryota; Metazoa; Chordata; Actinopteri; Cypriniformes; Cobitidae. The record is from RefSeq and is a predicted model, not a curated record.